ACCUGCAGACCCGUUCUGGAUGCCCAGGAGUCCUGUGAACCCGCAGCUGUCAUCACCACACUCUGCUCGCUGAUUCCUUUCAUCUGAAGCUUUACCUCGAACUCAUACAUGAUUGGCCUCCAAUAUUCCACUUCAGUGGUGGUGCCAAUGAUCAUGAUCUACUUAAAAUGUUGGAUACUCAUACGAUACAGAGAGAGAUGAAGAUCCAAGGUGUGGGUACACAGUGACAAACAUUGAAGAAAAAAAGAAAGCUGUUUGGGUUUUUUUUAAGACGCAAGGAAUUUUUUGACAAUAAAUUUACACCCUUUGGCACAUCUAUUUUAACGUUCUGGAGCAACUGUGUGACAAUUUUCACACUCCUCUGUACGAAUGCUCUCUGGUGACACCUGUUCAUACUAAGCUUUAAUGGCUCUUUUCAUGGCUUUUCCUGAUAUCAUCCCACCCCCAAGAUUAGAACUGUCUUGACGCUUUCCCAGCUGAUACAUAAACUCUUACCAUGACCCCUAUAAAUGUGAGCCUAUCUCUUCCAGCAGGCUGUAAACUCCUCACGAGUACAGACUGUCUUGCUCUUUUUUUCAUCUACAAUAUCUGAUAAACAGUAGACACUUAGCUACUUAUUAAAUUACUGAAUUACAGCUCAGCACACAGCAUGCUGUUAUGGCCAUUUGGUGGAGGUGAGCCUUGUUUUCUCAAAUGAGAAGUAGACUGGUUUUUCUGCAACCAUACAAGAAAGAUUCUAUAAGCCAGAAGACAGCAUAGUGAAACUGAUACUUGACUAAGUUUUCUGGUGUAAGUGUAAAGUAUAACCUUUUGGGAAAACUAUUUGCAAAUUCA
Long non-coding RNA from Physeter macrocephalus (sperm whale), 834 nucleotides. RefSeq lists it as uncharacterized. The record is from RefSeq and is a predicted model, not a curated record. The transcript is spliced from 3 exons. Lineage: Eukaryota; Metazoa; Chordata; Mammalia; Artiodactyla; Physeteridae.